Molecule: unclassified non-coding RNA, 383 nt
Filed under: uncultured fungus
Lineage: Eukaryota; Fungi
Description: partial contains small subunit ribosomal RNA, internal transcribed spacer 1, and 5.8S ribosomal RNA
Rfam family: Eukaryotic small subunit ribosomal RNA (bases 1-73)
Source: RNAcentral
UCAAACUUGGUCAUUUAGAGGAAGUAAAAGUCGUAACAAGGUUUCCGUAGGUGAACCUGCGGAAGGAUCAUUAAUGAAUAAAACUCAGUUGGAUUUGUUGCUGGCUUUUCUUAAGAGCAAGUGCACAAUCUGUUCUGAUGUUUGUUUAUUUCACAUCACACCCUCUGUGAACUUCUGUAGAUCCUGAAUCAUUCUCAAGUUGAAAUUCUUGAGGAUUGCUGUGUGUGCAUUCUUGAUGCAUGGAUGGCUUUUCUUGUUCAGGUUCUAUGUUUUUUAUUACAUACCCAGUUUGAAUUGGAUGUCUUGAGAACAUGUAUGAUUGACAAAAUAAUACAACUUUCAACAACGGAUCUCUUGGCUCUCGCAUCGAUGAAGAACGCAGC